GUAGGUGGCAAGCGUUGUCCGGAAUUAUUGGGCGUAAAGCGCGCGCAGGCGGUCCCUUAAGUCUGAUGUGAAAGCCCACGGGCUCAACCGUGGAGGGUCAUUGGAAACUGGAGGACUUGAGUACAGAAGAGGAAAGCGGAAUUCCAAGUGUAGCGGUGAAAUGCGUAGAGAUUUGGAGGAACACCAGUGGCGAAGGCGGCUUUCUGGUCUGUAACUGACGCUGAGGCGCGAAAGCGUGGGGAGCAAACAGGAUUAGAUACCCUGGUAGUCCACGCCGUAAACGAUGAGUGCUAAGUGUUAGGGGGUUUCCGCCCCUUAGUGCUGCAGCUAACGCAUUAAGCACUCCGCCUGGGGAGUACGGCCGCAAAGGCUG
RNAcentral lists this ribosomal RNA (373 nucleotides) under uncultured organism. Its description in RNAcentral is "partial 16S ribosomal RNA". It matches the Rfam family "Bacterial small subunit ribosomal RNA", at positions 527 to 896 of the family's 1533-position model. The record is from RNAcentral.